RNAcentral lists this ribosomal RNA (242 nucleotides) under uncultured bacterium. RNAcentral's name for it is "partial 16S ribosomal RNA". It matches the Rfam family "Bacterial small subunit ribosomal RNA", at positions 15 to 244 of the family's 1533-position model. The record is from RNAcentral.
GAUCCUGGCUCAGGAUGAACGCUAGCUACAGGCUUAACACAUGCAAGUCGAGGGGAAACGAUAUUGGAAGCUUGCUUCCGAUAGGCGUCGACCGGCGCACGGGUGAGUAACGCGUAUCCAACCUGCCCACCACUUGGGGAUAACCUUGCGAAAGUAAGACUAAUACCCAAUGACGUCUCUAGAAGACAUCUGAAAAGAGAUUAAAAGAUUUAUCGCUGAAAGAUGGCCUCGCGUCUGAUUAG